GACGAACGCUGGCGGCGCGCUUAACACAUGCAAGUCGAACGGAAAGGCCUGCUUUCCCUUGUGGAUUGCGGGUACUCGAGUGGCGAACGGGUGAGUAACACGUGAGUGAUCUGCCCCCAACUUGGGUAUAAGCCUGGGAAACUGGGUCUAAUUCCCGAUAGGACUGCAGGGUGGUGCCUGUGGUGGAAAACGAUUUUCUAGUGGUUGGGGAUGAGCUCGCGGCCUAUCAGCUUGUUGGUGGGGUAAUGGCCUACCAAGGCGGCGACGGGUAGCCGGCCUGAGAGGGUGGACGGCGACAUUGGGACUGAGAUACGGCCCAGACUCCUACGGGAGGCAGCAGUGGGGAAUAUUGCACAAUGGGCGGAAGCCUGAUGCAGCGACGCCGCGUGGGGGAUGACGGCCUUCGGGUUGUAAACUCCUUUCGACCGCGAGGAAGCCACCUGGUUGGAAGGGUGGUGACGGUAGUGGUAGAAGAAGCACCGGCUAACUACGUG
RNAcentral lists this ribosomal RNA (494 nucleotides) under uncultured bacterium. RNAcentral describes it as "partial 16S ribosomal RNA". It matches the Rfam family "Bacterial small subunit ribosomal RNA", at positions 28 to 507 of the family's 1533-position model. The record is from RNAcentral.